Molecule: ribosomal RNA, 492 nt
Filed under: uncultured bacterium
Lineage: Bacteria
Description: partial 16S ribosomal RNA
Rfam family: Bacterial small subunit ribosomal RNA
Source: RNAcentral
AGUGAACGCUGGCGGUAGGCCUAACACAUGCAAGUCGAACGGCAGCACAGUAAGAGCUUGCUCUUACGGGUGGCGAGUGGCGGACGGGUGAGGAAUACAUCGGAAUCUACUUUUUCGUGGGGGAUAACGUAGGGAAACCUACGCUAAUACCGCAUACGACCUACGGGUGAAAGCAGGGGAUCUUCGGACCUUGCGCGAUUGAAUGAGCCGAUGUCGGAUUGGCUAGUUGGCGGGGUAAAGGCCCACCAAGGCGACGAUCCGUAGCUGGUCUGAGAGGAUGAUCAGCCACACUGGAACUGAGACACGGUCCAGACUCCUACGGGAGGCAGCAGUGGGGAAUAUUGGACAAUGGGCGCAAGCCUGAUCCAGCCAUACCGCGUGGGUGAAGAAGGCCUUCGGGUUGUAAAGCCCUUUUGUUGGGAAAGAAAAGCAGCAGGUUAAUACCCCGCUGUUCUGACGGUACCCAAAGAAUAAGCACCGGCUAACUUCGUG